Molecule: ribosomal RNA, 468 nt
Filed under: uncultured bacterium
Lineage: Bacteria
Description: partial 16S ribosomal RNA
Rfam family: Bacterial small subunit ribosomal RNA
Source: RNAcentral
GACGAACGCUGGCGGCGUGCUUAACACAUGCAAGUCGAACGGAAAGGCCCUGCUUUUGUGGGGUGCUCGAGUGGCGAACGGGUGAGUAACACGUGAGUAACCUGCCCUUGACUUUGGGAUAACUUCAGGAAACUGGGGCUAAUACCGGAUAGGAGCUCCUGCUGCAUGGUGGGGGUUGGAAAGUUUCGGCGGUUGGGGAUGGACUCGCGGCUUAUCAGCUUGUUGGUGGGGUAGUGGCUUACCAAGGCUUUGACGGGUAGCCGGCCUGAGAGGGUGACCGGCCACAUUGGGACUGCGGUACGGCCCAGACUCCUACGGGAGGCAGCGGUGGGGAGUAUUGCACAGUGGGCGGAAGCCUGGUGCGACAACGCCGCGUGCGGGAUGACGGCCUUCGGGUUGUGAACCGCUUUCGCCUGUGACGAAGCGUGAGUGACGGUAAUGGGUGAAGAAGCACCGGCUAACUACGUG